RNAcentral lists this unclassified non-coding RNA (638 nucleotides) under Trichoderma citrinoviride. RNAcentral's name for it is "sequence contains 18S rRNA gene, ITS1, 5.8S rRNA gene, ITS2, 28S rRNA gene". The stretch from base 264 to 417 matches the Rfam family "5.8S ribosomal RNA". The record is from RNAcentral. Lineage: Eukaryota; Fungi; Ascomycota; Sordariomycetes; Hypocreales; Hypocreaceae.
UCGUAACAAGGUCUCCGUUGGUGAACCAGCGGAGGGAUCAUUACCGAGUUUACAACUCCCAAACCCAAUGUGAACGUUACCAAUCUGUUGCCUCGGCGGGAUUCUCUGCCCCGGGCGCGUCGCAGCCCCGGAUCCCAUGGCGCCCGCCGGAGGACCAACUCAAACUCUUUUUUCUCUCCGUCGCGGCCUACGUCGCGGCUCUGUUUUAUUUUUGCUCUGAGCCUUUCUCGGCGACCCUAGCGGGCGUCUCGAAAAUGAAUCAAAACUUUCAACAACGGAUCUCUUGGUUCUGGCAUCGAUGAAGAACGCAGCGAAAUGCGAUAAGUAAUGUGAAUUGCAGAAUUCAGUGAAUCAUCGAAUCUUUGAACGCACAUUGCGCCCGCCAGUAUUCUGGCGGGCAUGCCUGUCCGAGCGUCAUUUCAACCCUCGAACCCCUCCGGGGGGUCGGCGUUGGGGAUCGGCCCCUCACCGGGCCGCCCCCGAAAUACAGUGGCGGUCUCGCCGCAGCCUCUCCUGCGCAGUAGUUUGCACACUCGCACCGGGAGCGCGGCGCGGCCACAGCCGUAAAACACCCCAAACUCUGAAAUGUUGACCUCGGAUCAGGUAGGAAUACCCGCUGAACUUAAGCAUAUCAAUAA